Molecule: long non-coding RNA, 891 nt
Organism: Prinia subflava (tawny-flanked prinia)
Lineage: Eukaryota; Metazoa; Chordata; Aves; Passeriformes; Cisticolidae
Exons: 2
Source: RefSeq, a predicted model, not a curated record
UGAAUCUAAAUCUUGUCUUGCUUUUAGUUCCUAAGUUACUCAAACAUGGAAAAUUUCAUGCCUCUUGAUAAAAAGAAGAGCUUGAAGACGUGAAGAAGCACAAAGUAAUCCCUAUGAACUGCCAAUAGAACUGCAGUAAAUUGUCAUGUGAGAGAUUACUAAAUAAAGAGAUCAUUCUGCACUUUCAUCUCUCAGUUUUUCCCUGAGGAUCUUCUGUGGUGCCAAAAAGAAAUCAGCCAGCUAAUAAUGACAGCAGCUACAAUUUUCUACAAGGUUGUGUUUGCUUUCUUUUUGUUUUUUUUUUUAGAAGCUCGUCCGUUUUUAUAAUGGCUUUUUCGUAAAGUUUUUUCAUUUAUAUUUGUUAUUUUUUACCUUAUGUCUAGAAAAUGCAACUUACAAAACCUGAUAUAUGUUAAAGCAUAUAAUAUAAAGAGGGACUGACAUUCAAGUAUUCUUUCAAUGGAAUGGAGCAUCUUAUCCUUAAGUUUUUCUCAGACCUGAAACCUCUUCCUUCACUCUCUUCUCUACACCGCUAGAAAUCAUUGGUAAAUGCCAUAAAGCAUUCUGAAACUCACUUCUAAACAUCUGUGUAACUUUCAGAUGAAAGCAUAACUUUCUGUCUAUCACAUAUCUUUCAGUUUUGGGUUGAAUCUCAAAGGAUGAAAAUGAUUUCUUGAAACAAAUUGGGAGGGUAAUUCUUAAGUAUCUAGAUAACACUGAUGAAAAUAGUCACAUGUACAGUGACUCUGAAGCUGUUAUCCUAAAUAAAUGCCAACUAUAUAAUUGUUUUCCCUUCCAACUGGCAGGGGAGCCACAGGGAUGUUGCCAGAAAUAAUGGCUGAUUACUAUAGACAAAGAUACAUUUUAUAUUAAAAACAAAAACAAAAGCAA